RNAcentral lists this ribosomal RNA (465 nucleotides) under uncultured bacterium. RNAcentral describes it as "partial 16S ribosomal RNA". It matches the Rfam family "Bacterial small subunit ribosomal RNA", at positions 28 to 507 of the family's 1533-position model. The record is from RNAcentral.
GACGAACGCUGGCGGCGUGCUUAACACAUGCAAGUCGAACGGAAAGGCCCCCUUGUGGGGUACUCGUGUGGCGAACGGGUGAGUAACACGUGAGUAACCUACCCUUGACUUUGGGAUAACUUCAGGAAACUGGGGCUAAUACCGGAUAGGAGCUCCUGCUGCAUGGUGGGGGUUGGAAGGUUUCGGCGGUUGGGGAUGGACUCGCGGCUUAUCAGCUUGUUGGUGGGGUAGUGGCUCACCAAGGCGUUGACGGGUAGCCGGCCUGAGAGGGUGACCGGCCACAUUGGGACUGAGAUACGGCCCAGACUCCUACGGGAGGCAGCAGUGGGGAAUAUUGCACAAUGGGCGGAAGCCUGAUGCAGCAACGCCGCGUGCGGGAUGACGGCCUUCGGGUUGUAAACCGCUUUCGCCUGUGACGAAGCGUGAGUGACGGUAAUGGGUAAAGAAGCACCGGCUAACUACGUG